UCUUUUCCAAAUUAAAACAAAUCCAUGCAUGUGUUGUUACAUAGUUUUGCUUUAAAAUUUAUAUAGGUCUGUGGUGGAAAAUGUGCUUAUCAAUUUUAUGAAACUAAUAAGCUAAAACAAAUGCAUCAUAUUUUAGCUAAAAUUUGUUCCCUUACAUACGAAGAGUCAUUGUUCUACUCUUUUCAUUGGUGGCUGCCACAGGAAAAACUGAAAAAAUGUGACUUCUACCCAUGUUCAAAAAGCAGACAGACCAAGAAUCUCGUGCCUUGUCUGAUUGACCUACCCCGUGACUGAAUUUUGCAAUGAAUCCUUAUCAGGUUGUUAUACACCAUUGCAACUGGGCACCUUAAAAUUAGAUGGAAAGAACAGAGGAUGUUGCCAGAGGAUGUGCUGACUGGAUAAAAAGUAGGUUCUACCUUGUUUCAUUUUUUUUUUCUGAGCAUAGAAGCCACUUUAAAAGUUUGCAAGUCUUUAAAACAUUAGCUCCAGAUGUUUUGAAUGUGCUAAGGUGAGCAAGUGCAGUGAAAACCAUAAAACACUGUGUGAAGGCGAUUCUGAUGUGCUAUUACAUUAAAGAAAGUAGAUGGAAGUUCAGGAACAUACUGGCAAGAAACCCAAAAAGCCAAGUUUUCUACCGACUGGUUCUGAAAGGCUGGAUAAGUCAUGAUCUUCCUUGCGUCUAAAGAUGCCUACAGACUUCGGAUCAAAAUUUGUUAUCAAUUAGUGUUACCACUCUGAAUUGACAUAAUUUUGACCGGUGUCAAAGGAACAGUGUUUUAUUUAGUUCAUCCAAAAUAGAUAAAUGGGCAAUGUCUAUAAGACAUAUGGGGAUUGAAAAUAGUUCAUAGACUUCCCAUGACUACCUUGGAAGGUGGCAUGUAUAGUGAUUAAAAUAUCUAGGUUGCUUGGGUUCAAAUCAAUCAGCGAUUUACUAAUGGAAUGACCCUGUAAAAGCUUCCUCAUAUCUCUCUGCAUUUAUCUCCUCCUCAUUUUAGAAUGAAGAAUCCCAAAGCUCAUAGUUUUAUUGUAAAGGAUUAAAAAUUUUGUGCAUGUAACAUAUAUGGAAUUUCUGAAGACAGUAAGCACAUAAUAAAUGUUUGUUAUUAUUUUAUCCA
Long non-coding RNA from Bos indicus x Bos taurus (hybrid cattle), 1115 nucleotides. Lineage: Eukaryota; Metazoa; Chordata; Mammalia; Artiodactyla; Bovidae. The record is from Ensembl.